This is a small nuclear RNA of Microtus ochrogaster (prairie vole), 122 nucleotides long. Lineage: Eukaryota; Metazoa; Chordata; Mammalia; Rodentia; Cricetidae. The record is from Ensembl.
GUGUUGUACGCAAGGAGAGGUUUGCACCCCUGUUAACAAGGAUAGAAGAGGACCUGGAGCCUAAAAUACAGAUGAACUUAAGACAUUGCCACUUAUUUUGUGUUGCAUAACCACUGUCAUUU